CGCCUUGUGCCUGAAAGGGCGACGGCGCGAGUCGGAGCGAGAAGUCAGCAGAGGCCGUAGUAGUCUUUUUUUUUUUGACGAAGGGC
Molecule: non-coding RNA, 86 nt
Filed under: Pseudomonas rhodesiae
Lineage: Bacteria; Pseudomonadati; Pseudomonadota; Gammaproteobacteria; Pseudomonadales; Pseudomonadaceae
Source: RNAcentral